Molecule: small nuclear RNA, 24 nt
Filed under: Arabidopsis thaliana (thale cress)
Lineage: Eukaryota; Viridiplantae; Streptophyta; Magnoliopsida; Brassicales; Brassicaceae
Description: snRNA_16011
Source: RNAcentral
AAUAAUGGCUAAGUCUCAUCCUCA